This 1116-nucleotide long non-coding RNA is filed under the name Sus scrofa (pig). RNAcentral describes it as "lncRNA (ENSSSCG00005008555.1)". Lineage: Eukaryota; Metazoa; Chordata; Mammalia; Artiodactyla; Suidae. The record is from RNAcentral.
AUGCAAUUGUUGAAACAUAAAACUAUGACUUGUGGUCUCUGCAUUUCAGUAUAUAUAAAUUAUAUUGCAAUUUAAGCAGAUUCUCAAACUGUUAAGGUCAUCAAAAGCAAGGAAAGUCUGAGAACCUGUCAGUGCCUAAGGAGACAUGAGGAUUAAAAUAAUGUAAUAUCUUGGAUGGGCUCUAAGAACAGAAAAGGGAACAUUUUUAAGUGAAUCAAAUCUAAAUGAAAUAUGUAGUUUAGUUAAUAACAAUAUAUCAGUAUUGGUUCAUUGUGACAAAUGUACCUCACUAAUGUAAGAUGUUAACAAUAGGGAAAACUUGGCCACUUUCCAUAAGCCUGAAACCAUUCUAAAAUUCUUUAAAAAUAGAAACAAGUAGGAUGUGGGGGGGGGGGGGGGGAUGAAUAAUAUGGCAGUCACCUAAGAACCUACUGGAAGGUCAAUAAAAUGAAAAUGAAAACAUCAAUAUACAUUAUUUAUUUCAAGCAAUAAGUGUAAAUAAGCCAUAGAAAGCAAAUGUUUUUAUUUACUGAACCUUAGCAUCAAAUAUAUUACCCUUCUAUAGAUAUACUUUCCCAUGAUAAAACUGAAGAUUAUCAGCAUUAACCAUUAAUUUUUUAACUGGGCUAUCACAUUUAAAAAGAAAAGGUUGUACACAUACAAGUGGCAAUGGACUGAAUAAACAGUAUAACUUUUAUGUUAGAGUAGCAGAUUCCUCAUCGUAAAUUAUCUAAUACCAGUGUUCCGUCCUGUUUAACUCCACCAUCCAUGGGUUACGUACAUUCUUUACGUGGGUAAACAGAAACAUUCAUUUCGUGCCUGCCAAAACAUUUUCUUCUCAGAUGUGUGUGUGUGUGUGCGCGAUUGGAAGAGCAACAUCAAUUCCUGGGUUAAUAGGACUUAUUGGCCUAAAGGGAGGGAGCAUGUUCUCCUGGCAAGCCUGAAAAACUCAGAAUCAGACCCACCAAAUUCUCAUCUUCAUCACAGCCCCAGGGUUCUUGUGUGGCUAGAGAAAUCCUUCACCUUCUGUGCCUUGUUUGUUCUUCGGAAAUCAGGGGAAAGCACCUUUCUCAGGAGCCUUAGGAGCCUUUAAUAAGAGUUUAAAAGUCAGAAGAG